Molecule: non-coding RNA, 72 nt
Organism: Danionella cerebrum
Lineage: Eukaryota; Metazoa; Chordata; Actinopteri; Cypriniformes; Danionidae
Source: the annotation of a GenBank genome assembly
GGCUCGUUGGUUUAGGGGCAUGAUUUAUGCUUCAAGUGUGAGAGGUCCCAGGUUCAAAUCCCAUACAAGCCC